RNAcentral lists this ribosomal RNA (403 nucleotides) under bacterium. Its description in RNAcentral is "partial 16S ribosomal RNA". It matches the Rfam family "Bacterial small subunit ribosomal RNA", at positions 355 to 776 of the family's 1533-position model. The record is from RNAcentral.
UGGGGAAUAUUGCACAAUGGGGGAAACCCUGAUGCAGCGACGCCGCGUGAAUGAAGAAGGUAUUCGUAUCGUAAAGUUCUGACCUAUGGGAAGAUAAUGACAGUACCAUAGAAGAAAGCUCCGGCUAAAUACGUGCCAGCAGCCGCGGUAAUACGUAUGGAGCGAGCGUUGUCCGGAAUUAUUGGGCGUAAAGGGUACGCAGGCGGUUUAAUAAGGCGAAGGUUAAAGAUCGGGGCUCAACCCCGUAAAGCAUUCGAAACUGAUAAACUGGAGUAGUGGAGAGGAAAGUGGAAUUCAUAGUGCAGUGGUGAAAUACGUAGAUAUUAGGAGGAAUACCAGUAGGGAAGGCGACUUUCUGGACACAAAAUGACGCUGAGGUACGAAAGCGUGGGGAGCAAACAGG